GGAAUUUAUUAUUUUUUUUAAAAAAAGCAACUUCCAGAGUUCGUCAUUGUACAGGCUUAGCCCGGUCUCCUAUAGCAUGGUACAGCGAUUACUAAUUGUUUUUUAAUAAUGACUCAGAGGCACUGGAGAUCCAUAACUGUCUUCUGAAUUAUCACAGAAAGAAAAAAAAAAGACUUAGAAGAAGAGUUUAAUGUUAAGUGUAUUUAAAAAAUCAUAUUCUAGUUCUUUUAAAAUGGUUAUCCAAGUAUGAUAAUAUAGUAGAGCUCAGAUAACUAGAAAAGGCAACUGACCAGAACACCCCCUUCCCACGCGGUGUGCAUUAAUAGGCACUUUACUGCUUACAUCUUUAUAUGGUUUGCAAACUAAUUCAACCCAUUUCACACAGCAUUAAUUAUUUUUUAUUAAGUUCGCAUUGGGCUGAAACCGCUGCUCAUUAUCUCACAAUUAUUAUUAUUAUUUUUCCUGAUUUUUUGAUGGUUUCCCUCAUCUGACAGUGUUUGGACUUUAGUGUGCAUCAAAGUUUGCGAACAUCUCUGCCCAUUCUAGUGAUAUUUACAGUGAGGUUCCCCAUGGCCAGGUAUCCAAGACUGUUCUUUAAUUUGUCCCCCAGCUCUGUUCUUGACCUUGGGAAAAGAGAGACCUUGUGUCUCACUGGAAUAUGUGCCAAGCUCCAGGCCAGAAGCUCCUGGUCAUUAACAGAGGGGACCCCUCCAGGCUUUUAUUAAUGCUGUGCAAACAAGGGUCUCGUCGUUUCAAUAACUAUUUGUACAUUUAUAAAAGCAAUACAGUCAUGGGAAAAACCAACAAGCACAGCUUGGUAGAAUAACCUGCCAUGAAAUAUCAUUGGCUUUAUAAUAAUUUACUACAACUGUUCUUUUUAUUCACACUGGAUAGGAAAUGCUUCCAUCUAACACAUGGAAUACGAAUAUAUACAACAAAAUGUUGGGUUUUAUUAUAUAAAAAAAAUUCACAAAGACAAUAACAUGGGGGGUUUAAAAAAUAAUUUUGUGCAGUUUCCUGAUCACAAUCAUAUGUCUGCUGCCUUUUACAGGGAAUGAUACAAGUACUGAUAGAUUUUAAAAACCAGUUAAAGAAUUUUCCUGCCUGUAAUAGCCUACUCUUAAAAUAUUGCCUUGUUCAUACAGUAUAGGUGUUUUUCCUUCUCAACUGUAAUUCUAAAUGACUAUGGAUGACACAAUGAGUCAGUUUUAAGGACAAACCCUGCCAAUCCUCUUCAAAAUCAUCAUAUAUUUGCAGUUCCCUAUUUCAUCAAAAAGUUCACGAAACAACAUCUCAGAAACUGCACAGGGCUUCUGAUUGAUGUGCUGUUGAGAUCCUGAAUGUUGCAUUCACACCCGAUUUUUUUCCACAACGUCAGCAUCUCAGCUUGAAUUUUCUUAAGGCCGCAGUGAGUCAGUCAUGCGGCAGCGGUGUGGGGUGGACUGUCUUGUACUGCCAGCAGUCAAAACAGUUGUCAUGGGCUCAACAUCCCUAUACUGUGAGCCUGGGGGACCCAUUCUUCUGUGGAAUGGUUUUCUGGAGUCCAGCAAUGUCCCUGCAAGUGUUUGAGACAUCCUGGCUCCUACUUCAUGAAGGACUAUACUAAAGAAGAAGCCUAGUAUUCUAAAAAUAGACAAUACAGGCCAGGUUGGGGGCAGAGGGUGGGGGGAGGGGGAAGGGGAAGGUUGCUUUCAUAAGUCCUGGACACCAUCUCUGAUUUUAGCUCUAUGAGAAGUGCUGGGGGAUUCUCUGGGAGUGGCAGGCUGGGAGAAGGGCUGGGUCUGAGGUACACUUGGAGAAGUGUCUGUUUGGCAUCGACACUGCACAUUUAGUACCUGUAGUCUAGGCACUGUGCCUAGAUCUAUUUUUCCCUGACUGUACCUUUUUUGCCUAAGGGUUUCCCCAUUCCCCCAUGUUUGUUUUGUUUUCUAAAUAGGUUUGGGCAAUAGAGUUCCUCUCUCUCUCUCUCUCUCUCUCUCUCUCUCUCUCUGUAAUUCUAAUAGGUGAGGGGUGGUUCUUUGGAGUUGUAAUUUGAGGACUGUGGAAAUCAUUGGGCUACAUGGGAAUAGUGCUGUGAUUGAUUAGCAAUGUCUGUCGUGGCUAAAAGAAUAGGUGUUUAUGGAAUGCAUGCCAGGUCCUUGUGUCUCUGUUCUAAGAAAAGUGAAAGAAUGAGUCUGGCUUGAUGGAUUCUUGGAGGAUCUUUGGAGACCAGAGCCCAAAGCACUGCAUUUAUAUUUAUAUUCUACUUUGUUCCUGAAAAGAUUUAAGGAGCUUGGGAGAGGAAUUUUAAGAACUGUGGAAAGUUGGAGGACGAGAUAAUUUUGAAUAGGUUGGUGCAGGAGUCCCUCAACAAUGGCCCUGUUUCCACCCCUGGGUGAUGAGACCCAAUGUUUACAGUGUGUUUACAGGGCUUCUGCUCACAAAAGAUUCAGAACGACUGGGAGCAAUGGAGUGAGCCCCAGGUGUGGUGGAAAUUCCAGGCAGAGCAUUUCUGGUGUAUUGCCUCUGGGUCAAUAGCUGAUAAUAAAUUGUGAGUAUGUUGAAAAGCCAAGAAGAAAUCUACUUGCACCCACAUACGUGCCUUUUUGGGGUUAAUCAAAUAACCAGGUGAUAGUUUCCUUAUUAUGUCAGGACCAUUGUCUCACAGCUCUAUCUAGAAGUCUCUGGUGUAUAACUUUCCCAAGAAAGAAAAA
Molecule: long non-coding RNA, 2693 nt
Organism: Myotis brandtii (Brandt's bat)
Lineage: Eukaryota; Metazoa; Chordata; Mammalia; Chiroptera; Vespertilionidae
Exons: 2
Source: RefSeq, a predicted model, not a curated record